This 43-nucleotide ribosomal RNA is filed under the name Lampropedia hyalina DSM 16112. RNAcentral describes it as "16S rRNA. Bacterial SSU". Lineage: Bacteria; Pseudomonadati; Pseudomonadota; Betaproteobacteria; Burkholderiales; Comamonadaceae. The record is from RNAcentral.
CUGGCUCAGAUUGAACGCUGGCGGCAUGCUUUACACAUGCAAG